RNAcentral lists this microRNA (21 nucleotides) under Picea abies (Norway spruce). RNAcentral describes it as "pab-miR166c". Its record names the gene pab-miR166c. The record is from miRBase by way of RNAcentral. Lineage: Eukaryota; Viridiplantae; Streptophyta; Pinopsida; Pinales; Pinaceae.
CCGGACCAGGCUUCAUCCCCU